Molecule: long non-coding RNA, 926 nt
Organism: Thunnus maccoyii (southern bluefin tuna)
Lineage: Eukaryota; Metazoa; Chordata; Actinopteri; Scombriformes; Scombridae
Exons: 5
Source: RefSeq, a predicted model, not a curated record
CUUCGCCCCUUUGGGGCUCUGGCCCUAACAAUAGGGUCCUCGCCCUUAGGUGAGCCCAAAAGUCCUCUGCCUCUUGGGCUUGGUCCCUUAUAAGGAUUUUUUUGAACUGUAAAUCAUGCAAAGAUAUUCUAAUAAAGCCCCAGAGUAAAAAUAUAGAAAUGGAAAUGUGCAUGAUAUGUCCUUUUUAAAUCAUUAAACUCACUGUCACAUAAGGCAUUUGGGGGCUGUCUAUCUGCCUGUGCCCUAUGUGCUAGGGCACAGUACAUCAUAGAGUGGCUCACCCAGAUUCCUCUGCCCUCGGUGAAUAUGGGGAAUGUCCAGUUCCUGAGGAACAAAGUGGAUGAACUUUGGGGAAAUGUUCAUUUUCAGAGGGACUUCAGAGACUGCUGCGUCAUGGCUUCCACUGAGACAUGGUUCACUGAGCACAACCAGGACAUCAACCUGUUUAUCAAUGAUUCUGGAGCUCCAUUUCAUCUGGACUGAAAGGCUGAAGUGACGAGGAAAACACAAGGUGGUGGGUGUCUUUGCACUCACUGCCAGCCAAGAAGCCUCCAUCUGAUUCUGCUGCUUGUGUUCUCACAUCCUACAGUUACUGUACACAAAAACAGACCUAUUCUCUUGAUGCUGGGGUGGUGCUGAAGAUUUGCCAAGAUCCAGACCCUGCCAUGAAAUCCACCAUUGCAAUACUAUCAGACAAGGGAUGUGAGAAUAUGAAGUAUGCUGAAGUCAUGAUCCAAACAAGAUGAUCCAAACUUCUUAAGCCAAAGCCAGAAGCUGGUUUGUUCUGCUUCUUCGCCCAGCUCCCUGAACAUAUUCUUUAGCUUGACUCUCCCAAAGUCUUCAGGAGAAGUUGUGAAGAUUUUCCAGUGAAGCCUCUGCUGCUUACCGCCACAGGGAAUGUGAUUGCUGUCCUGCUUCCCUGCACU